GAUGAACGCUGGCGGCGUGCCUAAUACAUGCAAGUCGAGCGACCAGACGAGGAGCUUGCUCCUCUGACGUUAGCGGCGGACGGGUGAGUAACACAUGGAUAACCUACCUCUAAGACUGGGAUAACUUCGGGAAACCGGAGAUAAUACCGGAUAAUACAUCGAACCGCAUGGUUCAAUAGAGAAAGACGGUUUUGCCGUCACUUAUAGAUGGAUCCGCGCCGCCUUAGCUAGUUGGUAAGGUAACGGCUUACCAAGGCAACGAUGCUGAGCCGACCUGAGAGGAUGAUCUGCCACCCUGGAACUGAGACACGGUCCAGCCUCCUACGGGAGGCAGCAGUAGGGAAUCUUCCGCAAUGGGCGAAAGCCUGACGGAGCAACGCCGCGUGGGUGAUGAAGGUCUUCGGAUCGUAAAGCUCUUUUCUUAGGGAAGAACAAAUGUAUAAUUAACUCUGCACGUCUUGACGGUACCUAAACAAAAAGCCCCGGCUAACUACGUG
Molecule: ribosomal RNA, 497 nt
Filed under: uncultured bacterium
Lineage: Bacteria
Description: partial 16S ribosomal RNA
Rfam family: Bacterial small subunit ribosomal RNA
Source: RNAcentral